RNAcentral lists this ribosomal RNA (253 nucleotides) under uncultured bacterium. RNAcentral's name for it is "partial 16S ribosomal RNA". It matches the Rfam family "Bacterial small subunit ribosomal RNA", at positions 524 to 776 of the family's 1533-position model. The record is from RNAcentral.
UACGUAGGUCGCAAGCGUUGUCCGGAUUUACUGGGCGUAAAGAGUGUGUAGGCGGUGUUCUAAGUUUGUCGUGAAAUCUCCCGGCUUAACUGGGAGGGUGCGGCGAAAACUGGAAUGCUAGAGGAUGGGAGAGGUAAGCGGAAUUCCUGGUGUAGCGGUGAAAUGCGUAGAUAUCAGGAGGAACACCUGUGGUGUAGACAGCUUACUGGACCAUUUCUGACGCUGAGACACGAAAGCGUGGGUAGCAAACAGG